ACGAACGCUGGCGGCGUGCUUAACACAUGCAAGUCGAACGGAAAGGCCCUGCUUUUGUGGGGUGCUCGAGUGGCGAACGGGUGAGUAACACGUGAGUAACCUGCCCUUGACUUUGGGAUAACUUCAGGAAACUGGGGCUAAUACCGGAUAGGAGCUCCUGCUGCAUGGUGGGGGUUGGAAAGUUUCGGCGGUUGGGGAUGGACUCGCGGCUUAUCAGCUUGUUGGUGGGGUAGUGGCUUACCAAGGCCUUGACGGGUAGCCGGCCUGAGAGGGUGACCGGCCACAUUGGGACUGAGAUACGGCCCAGACUCCUACGGGAGGCAGCAGUGGGGAAUAUUGCACAAUGGGCGGAAGCCUGAUGCAGCAACGCCGCGUGCGGGAUGACGGCCUUCGGGUUGUAAACCGCUUUCGCCUGUGACGAAGCGUGAGUGACGGUAGUGGGUAAAGAAGCACCGGCUAACUACGUG
This 467-nucleotide ribosomal RNA is filed under the name uncultured bacterium. Its description in RNAcentral is "partial 16S ribosomal RNA". It matches the Rfam family "Bacterial small subunit ribosomal RNA", at positions 29 to 507 of the family's 1533-position model. The record is from RNAcentral.